AUACAGAGGGUGCGAGCGUUAAUCGGAAUUACUGGGCGUAAAGCGCGCGUAGGCGGCUUAUUAAGUCAGAUGUGAAAUCCCCGGGCUCAACCUGGGAACUGCAUCUGAUACUGGUAAGCUAGAGUUUUGGAGAGGGAAGUAGAAUUUCAGGUGUAGCGGUGAAAUGCAUAGAGAUCUGAAGGAAUACCAGUGGCGAAGGCGACUUCCUGGCCAAAAACUGACGCUGAGGUGCGAAAGCGUGGGUAGCAAACGCGAUUAGAAACCCCUGUAGUCC
This 274-nucleotide ribosomal RNA is filed under the name uncultured bacterium. Its description in RNAcentral is "partial 16S ribosomal RNA". It matches the Rfam family "Bacterial small subunit ribosomal RNA", at positions 523 to 796 of the family's 1533-position model. The record is from RNAcentral.